Molecule: non-coding RNA, 19165 nt
Organism: Callithrix jacchus (white-tufted-ear marmoset)
Lineage: Eukaryota; Metazoa; Chordata; Mammalia; Primates; Cebidae
Source: RefSeq, a predicted model, not a curated record
AAAUUUUUGUAUUCCAAAUUUAAAUUUUAACAACUAAAAUAUUCAGGAACUGAAGAGCAUUUGUCUUAGGAAAAUUGCAGAUUAUCAAAUCUGCCUUUUGUUUAGAGAUAGGGAAAAUGAUGUGACUUUUUUCACUAUUCGAAAGUUGCCACAGUAGGUAUCUCUAGAAACGAUUAUUUUUUCUUUGUUCUGUAGUACAGUAUUAAAUUAAAACAACACAAAACUAGAGAUAAAAUUGAAUUUUAAUUAGAGAAGGAGGAAAACCUAGCCUCUGUCAGAAAUCGCUUUGUUCAAAACAGAAACCUUAUUUUUAGUUAAAUAUUCAAUAAAUAUUUCAAGGAUAAAAGAAAAUAGUGAAAAAUCUAAUCUAGUGAAUAUUUCACAGCUGUAUCUGAAAUUGGUAUCUAGCAUUUAAAAAUAUAAUAGAAACCUCUCAACUUUAGUAAAUUUACAAAUAUUUAAGUAGAACAUAUUGGAAACAGGCAUUUAAUUUCUUAACACAUUGUAUUACCUACGUACAUUCCAUAUGUGAGGUUAUUUGUAAUAAUAGACACUAUUAUAAAUGGACUAAGUAUGUUUCAGCCAAAUAAUACCAGAGGUUCACAUAACCAAAAUGUCUACUGCUUUUUAUUUCUUCUGGCACUGCAAUUAGAAUAAUUUAUUUCUUAAGUAUUUUGCCCAUCUGUUUUUAAGAAUGAUAUUUUAGCCUUUACUCUGCAUUAUUCACUAGUACUUUUUGUCUUCUUUUAUUUGCCUUAAUAGAAGGGGAAGAGAAUUCAAAGAAUUAACCUCAUAUAAACUGUACUUUUUUAGUGUAGCAGUGGGGCUUUCUGGCACGGACUUCAUGCUGGUUAGGGGGAAGCCUUAUAGUGAGCCAUCCCUGUGUACAGAGCUCUCAGGUUAGUGUGGGCUUUGUAAUUUUAUUUCCACAAAUAUUUUUCAGUAGAAGAUAUAGCAUGUUUUGAUGGAAGUUAAGGGAUGGUGACUUCCAUUGGGAAAUUACUUUAAAUGCUUUACAUCAGUUAAUCAAUUUUCAGGAUUUUUUUGACUGAGUUAUUUGUUUAAAUGUGAUUAGUUAUAUCUUAGGAGUUUUGUGGACUUUUCCCCCCUUUGGGGUUAAAAAGAUAUGAUAAUAAUGCUUUAAUAGAGAACAUGUACUAUAUAAAGCCCACUUUUAUAUCACUUCUUUUGAAACCUUUCCAUCAUUAUUUAUAUAAAAAUUAGGUGAAAUAUUUAAAAAGCUAAAAUUGUUGACUCUCACAUCAGUUCUAAAAUAAUUUGAAAAUUUUGAGAACAUGUCUUGUAAUCCUGCUUUGUGAUUAACUUUUAUCUAAGAACCCCACUUUACCUGAGUGUCACUUAAUAAAAUGCUGAGUUGAAGCAGCAGCUUAGCUAAUGAGCAGAGCAAAAAUAAUGUACAAAAAUUAUUUUUGGGGAAUAGAUAUUACAAAUCUCUAUGGACAGUUGAUAAGAUAUGCUUAUGUCUUAAAGAGGAUUAAUUUAUAGUAGCCAAACACUUUAGUCUUUCAUCAUUAGUAUUAAAAUAUUGAGAAUCAAAAUAUCAGAGUGCUUUGAGUUGACUUUAAAAGCCAAUUAUUACUAAAAUAUUUGAUCAUCAGAAUCUCACUCUAGUUUAUUUCGGUAUAGUCUGCAACUUCCUGUUCCAGCUUACUAAAACGAGUUUUUCGGCUAUGAAACCAUGAGUUAACAUUGGAAAUAUUAUUAUAAUAUUACAGAUAUUACUAUACAGAGGCUGGCUUGCCUCAUAGUUUCCCGAAAUGACUUUCCAGGGAAACUUGACCCCAUUUUUUUUAAAAAAGAAAUAUCUCUUAUACCAUACCUUAAGAAACUCUCCUAGAAAUAUUGGUGACUUCAAAAAUUAUUAGUCUUCAUUUUUAUUUUUCAUACCAAUUUUAGUAGCUUUACAGUAAAAAAUCUGUAAACUUUUUUAAAAAGCUAUUUUCAAAACAUCUUCAUUAUAUAAGCAUAACAUUUUAUGCAUUAGUAGUGUUUUAUAUCAUGUUACAUUCUUUUUUUUAAUCUUAAAAGCUUUUGAUACGCACUUCUUGCUUUGUCAUAAGAAUGCACUCCUUCCUUUUUAAUAGCUAUGUUAUUCUCCUUGGGUUAUAUAUAAUAAUUUAUUUCCCUGCUUGUUGCACAUCUGAGUUGUUCCCAUUGUUUUUGAUAAAAAUAAUGUGUUUUACUUUUCUCCCCUUUGGGAUAAAUGCUUAGAUAAAGUCUUCAGAGUGGAAUUACUAGGUCAGUUACUGGCUAAGUGAUCUGAUAGCUCUUUUAUCAUUGCCAAAAGAUAUGUGCGACCCAAGGCUUUUUAAUGUGCCUGUUCUCCAUAGCUUGAUUCAAUACUGGAUAUGAAUUGUGGUAUUUGAUGCAUUGCUUUUAUUUGUAUUUAUUUUAUUGGUAAUAAAAUGGAAUAUUUUUAAUGAACACUUUGUGCUUCUUCAUGUAUAAGCUCUCAGGGUCUUUUAACUGCUUAUCUUAAGGAGUCUGGUUAAUAAGCCUCAUAGAUUUGUACCAACUUUGUAUAUUUUAAUAUAAAAUACUUUUUCUGGUAAUUUCCACAUUUUUUAAAAAUGGGACAUCAUUAAUAUUUUUUCAGUAUUACUUUAGUGUUGUGAAUUAUUGAUUAGAAUAUGCUCUAGUCUUUAUUCACUAUAGAUUUUGCUAAUAUUGAAAUUUGAUUUAGAGAAUCUUACAUGGCUGCUUAUUGUUUCAAACUUAUUUAACUUUAUGUUGCUAUCAGAUCUAACUAUAUUUUGCUAAACUGUUUCUUAAAGACUUAUAAGGUAAAUGCCUUAUUCAUCAUCUGUGAAAAUAAAAAUUAAUGAAAUUAGUUUCACAUGCUACUCAGUCUGUAGUUUAUUUCUAGGUAUAAGCAACCAGCUGUAUAAUUUUUUCAGGUUAUAUAUGUGAAUGCUGUCAGCUCUUUCUAAUUGGAUUAGUCUGGAACUUUUAUGUGUGAUACUGUCCUCUCAUAAUGAGGACAUUAUGAUUUCAAAAGGAUUUGUGUUUUAUGUUGUACACUAGGGUUUUUUAAACCCAUUUAUUGGAAUAUUGGUAUGUCUAGAUUUUUUUUAUUAGAAACUGAAAAACUUUUCUGCUUUCCCUGUUAUAUACAUGUUCUUUCAUUUUUCCCAUCUUUAACCAAAAUGAACUAAUAUUACCUUUCAAAGUAAUACAAAAUUUGAGCCUGAAGCACAGCUCCUCUUAUUGCCCUCUCUUUGUCAUUAUUGGUCCUCCCAAAAAGGUGGUUGACUUUUAAUACUUAAUUUUUCAGCUUUUACUAAAAUAAUCUUCACAAUCUUGUUUAUGUCUGCCAAGUGACAAUAAAGCAAAAAAAAAAAAAUUCAAAAUUAUUUUAUUUAAAUGAAAGAUUUCUGUGUACACAUUUGGAAGCAUAUGGUAUAUUUUACAAAGGUUGAAAUCAUUCAAGUGAAAUUAUUUCCAUCUGGCCGUUUUAAAUUCAAUAUUUUUUAAAUGUGCACCCAAAGCCAGGCUUGAUGGCUUAUAUCUGUAAUCCAGACAUUUGGGGAGGCCAAGGCAGACAGAUCAACUAAGUCCAGGACAUCAAGACCGAACUGGAUAACAUGGCAAAACCGUCUCUACAAAAAAAAUUCUAACAUUAGCUGGGUGUGGUGUCACACAUCUGUAGUCCUAACUACUCAGGAGGCUGAAACAGGAGGAUUUCUUGAGCCUAGGAGGUUGAAGAUGCAGUAAGCCAUGAUUGCACCCCUGCACUGUAUCCUGGAUGACAGAACAAGAUCCUGUCUCCAAAUGAAAUAAGAUAAAAUAAAAUAAAUGUGCCCCUAAGUAUAGAGUAUGUAUUUCCCAUAGCUAAUUUAAUUCUUUAAUUCAUCUGAAUCAAUUAUUUUGUUAAUAUAACUCUUUUAUUAUUUAUUUAUUUAUUUAUUUUUUUGAGACGGAGUUUCGCACUUGUUACCCAGGCUGGAGUGCAGUGGCGUGAUCUCGGCUCACCGCAACCUCCGCCUCCUGGGUUCAGGCAAUUCUCCUGCCUCAGCCUCCCGAGGAGCUGGGAUUACAGGCACGUGCCAACAUGCCCAGCUAAUUUUUUGUAUUUUUAGUAGAGACGGGGUUUCACAAUGUUGACCAGGAUGGUCUCCAUCUCUCGACCUCGUGAUCCACCCGUCUCAGCCUCCCAAAGUGCUGGGAUUACAGACUUGAGCCACCGUGCCUGGCUAUAACUUUUUUAUAGUCAGCAGGCAGUCAUUUAUGCUCAUUGGCACUGAUGGCUAGAGUAAACUUUCUUUUGUUAAUUUUGGAAUUUUUUUUGUCUUCUAGUUUCUCAUGAGAUAUCAGAAAUGAAAUCGGAAGUGGAUGAGUUUAUUCAACUAGCUUCUAUGUCUAGUGUAGUUUGUUGGCCUUGGCCUAGUUCUUUUUUUUUUUUUUUUUUUGAGAGGGAGUUUCGCUCUUUUCACCCAGGCUGGAGUGCAAUGGCACGAUCUCGGCUCACCGCAACCUCUGCCUCCUGGGUUCAGGCAAUUCUCCUGCCUCAGCCUCCUGAGUAGCUGGGAUUACAGGCACGCGCCACCGUGCCCAGCUAAUGUUUUGUAUUUUUAGUAGAGACGGGGUUUCACCAUGUUGACCAGAAUGGUCUCGGUCUCUUGACCUCGUGAUCCACCCACCUCGGCCUCCCAAAGUGCUGGGAUUACAGGCUUGAGCCACCGCGCCCGGCCUUGGCCUAGUUCUUUAUAUCAUGCCUGAAACCACCCAGGCUAGGGUUACAUGAGCUCUCUCCAGUCACGCAGUACCUCCAUUUUCUGGGAACAUUUCUGCCUCAACGUUUAAUGUUAACUCUUUUGGUUACCAUUAAAGAAUUUUACAUAGUCAUGAGGUUCACACAACUCAGGGCAGGUAGUACAUAUCUCUCUUCCCUUUCUUGUAUCCAUACUUUGUCGCUUUCUGUGCUUUAUUUUUGGAAAAAGACCCUCAGAUUUUGAAUUAACACAGUUAAACUCCGACAUCUUCCCUUUCUUAAGGAGAUCUUCCAUACUGAGAAGAUUACUUUUAUUCUGCUUUGAAAUACAACUGGUAUUGUGAGACAAACUGCUAAGUAGACUCUUGGUGAUUCCCAGUGACUAGAAUAUAAUGAAGGGAAACAGAACCGUUGAUUCUCUCAUUGCUGCCCAGUUCUCUUUCCUUAUCACUGCACUUUCUACUUUUCCUGACUCAGCCUAGCCUCAAAUCUAGUUUUGUGUGAGGAUUAGCAGAGUCAGUCCUUCUGUGUCCACCUGUUGUUUUUUUCCUGUGCUAGUUAUAGAAUGUUGUAUAAAAUGUUGCAUUUCUCCAUUGCCUCUUUUUUUUUUUUUUGAGAUGGUGUUUCGUUUUUGUUACCCAGGCUGGAGUGCAAUGGCGAGAUCUCGGCUCACCGCAACCUCCGCCUCCUGGGUUCAGGCAAUUCUCCUGCCUCAGCCUCCCGAGUAGCUGGGAUUACAGGCACACGCCACCGUGCCCAGCUAAUUUUUUGUAUUUUUAGUAGAGACGGGGUUUCACCAUGUUGACCAGGAUUGCCUCUUAGAUCAAAUUUAAAUACAUCGUCUGAAGAUACUAAGCUUUCAUUCAUUCUUUCAUUAUGUAUGAUCGGUAUGCUUAGUAAAAGAAGGGUGCCUCCUUAUUGUUCCUCACAUCCUUCUGCCAUGACUUUCCACCAUUCCAAAUUCUGCUUAUAUUUCAAAUCAGUUUGCAUCCUGCCUGCUUAUGAUUCUUUUCCUGAAAAUCCCAGUCCACACUUUGAGUUGUUCUUUUGGUCUUUAUUAAUACUCACUGCUAAUAGCACAACUUUAAAUAGUUAACUCUACUGUGUAUUCAGAUAGUUUUGGCUGAUGCCUAUAAUCUCAGCGCUUUGGGAGGCCCAGGUGGGUAGAUCACCUGAUAUCAGGAGUUUGAGACCCAGGAAGUGGAGUUUGCAGUAAGCUGAGAUUGCACCACUGUGCUCCAUCUCAAAAAAAAAAAAAAAUUGGCAAGGUUCAAUGGCUCAUGCCUGUAAAUCCCAGCACUUGGGAGGCCAAGGUGGGUGGAUCACCUGAAGUCAGGAGUUCAAGAGCAGCCUGACCAACAUCGAGAAACCUCAUCUCUACAAAAAAUACAAAAUUAUCUGGGCAUGGUGGCACAUGUCUGUAAUUCCAGCUACUUGGGAGGCUGAGGUAGGAGAAUCACUUGAACCCAGGAAGCAGAGGUUGCGGUGAGCCAAGAUUGUGCCAUUGUACUCCAGCCUGGGCGACAAGAGUGAAACGCCAUCUCAAAAAAAAAAAAUGUUUUUGGAUUUCAUAAGUAAAUAUAUUUUCCCCAGAUUAAAAAAAAAAUCACUUAAGGGUUUGAUCAUGCAUAUAUUUUUUCUGACAUGAACUUGUGGAUAUCAAGUGAGCACCUUCAUUUUCCUUCUAAUUGCUUAUUUCCCAAAUCAAAUCAAAUCUGCUAUUGCUCCUACAUUUCUUGCUUAAUUUACAGAAACCCUGUUCUUUCAGUACCUGAUUUAAAAUUCUCAGAACCCUCUUGCAUUCCAUCCAUUCCCUCAGAACCAAAAUGAAUCUUAUCAUCAAGUGCAACAGAUUAUACUUCUGGUUUCUUUCUUCCAUUUCCUCAUGUCUAGUUCGGUCCUCUGUUCUCUUUCCUGGACAUUAUAACAGCUUCAUAAGGUGUCUUCUUGUUGCUAAUCUCUGGAUUGUUUCUUACCCAGGGAUCCUGUAGCAACAUUGUUUUAAAACACUGCCUUAUUCAAAAAACAGCAGGCAUCUGUUUUGUCCUCAAGGACUUUAAAUAACGUGAAGGAGAUAAUCCUAUACACACCUGCUGUAAUUAAAGGUAGAGUUUAAUAACAGUAACACUAGGCUAUAAGGAGAGAUCCAUGGGAAUGCAGGAGGACAGAUAAGUGAUUAAGACAAGGUUUUAUUCAUUCAAUUUACAAAUAUGUAUUGACCAUUUAGGGCUGAGUACUUUUACAUGCUGGAUAUGCAAUAUUGAACAAACCAAACAUGGGUCAUUCUUUCAUUGGGUUUAUGGUCUUGUGGUAGAGAUACAUGAUUAACGGGUAAACCAAAAUAUUACAUAAUGACAAGCUACAUCCAAUUGUAGGCAAAGAUUAGGGUGCCGUGAAAGAGCGUGACAGAAAGGACCCAGACUUCAUGUGGUCAUUUUGAAAUAAAAAGGAAUUUAGGUGGGAAGAUAGGGGCAAACAUUCUAGGCAAAUAUCCUUGUCUUUUAUUUCACUGGGAAAAUAGAUACCAAAAGUCAUGAGUACCCUUCACUUCCCAUUCCCAUACCUUAAACAUUACUGUUGAGACCAACUGACAGGAGGGACGGGGGGCAAGAAAGAUGAGGCAGACACAGGGUACCACGAGGAAAGUCUGUUACUACUAUGACAGGAAUAUUGGAAGUUACUAUUAUAGACAAGGCCAUCCAAUGAUCGCAAUUUGCUGCCCAACUAUGGUCUCUACUGAAAAAUAGAAAUCUGUCACCCUCACAAAGCCAGUGCUGAGGAGAGAUGAUCAAGUAACACAGUGAUGACUACAGUAAAUUCUUGUGUUCUAUCACUCCAGAUUACAUGUUCGAGCACAGCAAGCAGACGCAGAGUCAACGUCGGUGAGAACUGUCCGGUAUUCAAUGGUUUGUUUGAAUUCCGACAGUUGUCUACUGAUGACUCUGUGGCAAGGGCUGUGAAACUUAAGAAGCAGCAGAUGAACAUCACUGUGAAUUGGGCUGGGGGCUUGCACCGUGCAAAGAAGUCCGAGGUAUCUGGCUUCGUUGUACCAGUGACAUUGUCUUGGCCAUCCUGGAGCUGCUGAAGUAUCACCAGAGGGUGCUGUAUAUUGACAUUGAUAUUCACACGGCGAUGGCAUGGAAGAGGCCUUCUAUAUCACAGACUGGGUCAUGACUAUGUAUUUCCCUAACUAUGGAGAGAACUUUUCAGGAACUAGGGAACUGCAGGAUAUUGGGGCUGGCAAAGGCAAGUAUUAUGCUGAUAAAUACCUGUUCCGAGAUGGGAUUGACGACGAGUUCUAUGAGGUCACUUUCAGGCUGGUUAUGUUCAGAGUAAUGGAGAUGUUCCAGCCUACUGCAAUAUUCUUAUAGUGUGGCUCAGACUCCUUAUCUGGGGAUUGGUUAGGGUGCUUCAACCUGACCAUCAAAGUGCAUGCUGGGGGGCAUAUCAAGUAUGUGGAAUUUGUCAGGAGCUUUAACUUGCCUAUGCCAAUGCUGGGAGGAGGUGGUUACAUCAUUUGUAAUGUUGCAGAGUGCUGGACAUAGGAGACAGCUGUGGCCCUGGAUACAGAGAUCCCUAAUGAGCUUCCAUACAGUAACUACUUGGAAUACUUCGGACCAGAUUUCAAGCUCUACAUCAGCCCUUCCAGUAUGACUAGCCAGGACAUGAAUGAGUACCUGGAGAAGAUAAAUAGUGACUGUUUGAGAACCUGAGAAUGCCGCCCCACACACCUGUCUCCACAUGCACGUGAUCCCAGAGGAUGCUGUCCCUUAAGAGAGAGGCGAUGAGAGUGAAGAAGACCCUGACAAGCACAUCUCAGUCUGUUUCUCUGACAAAUGAAUUGCCUGUGAGGAAGAGUUCUCCGACUGAUGAGGUGGGAGAGGGUGGCCACAAGAACUCUUUCAACUUCAAAAAAAAGCCAAGAGAGUCAAAAGAGGAUGAAAAAGAGAAAGACCCAGAUAAGAAGACCAAAGUCACAGAAGAGGAGAGAAUCAAAGAGGAGAAGCCAGAAGCCACAAGGGUCAAGAAGCAGGUCCAGCUCUGGCUUCUUGCCGAGUUCCCUACCUUUCUCCCCCAGCAUCUCAGAUUUUAUAUUUUCUAUUUCUCUGUGUAUCUAUAGGAAAAUUUAUUAAAUGUAAAUAUCCCCAGGGACUAGACAGAAACCAAGGCCCUGAGCCCCGGGCAGCUGUGCUGGGCAAACUCUUCUAGGAGCUGCCUUGCCACCCAUCCUUCCAUCCUUCCCCAGUUCUUAACUUUGAACCAUAAAGAGUGCCAGGUCUUGGUGAAAGGGAUACUUUUAUGCAACCAUAAGACAAAAUCCUGAAAUGCCAAAUAUCUGUUUAGUAGCUUUGGAAAGGUGCCCUUACUGAGCAUUCUAUAAAAGGUGGCCAGGUCUUCAAGGAUCUCCUGUUCUUUUCAGGCUUCUAACAUAAUAUCAGCCAUUUUUAGAUUGGCUGUUUUCAUACCUUCCCAGUGGCCUCAGGUGAGCCAAAAACUAACGCCUGCCCUUUUUCUUCCCCUAAUUCUUCAUGCAGUGGUUGGUGGUCUAGUUUCCUUUUCGAGAUACUGUUUUCAUUUUUGAGACUCUUUGUAAUAAAAUGGUACAUUUUUAUAAAAAGUUAACUGUUUAGACCCCCUCUCACCACUGCCUGUCACAGUGGAAAGAUGUGUUUUCUCUUGUUCAAGACUUCACUCACUCAUCUGUUUAUCUGCCUUCCUUCUCAGUACCUCACCCCUUCAGUAAGGUUCUCUCUUCUGUAACCAUCAAGACCGUGUCUCUAUCCACUCCUUUUCUUCAGCUUUUAUACAUACUUGAAUGUCUUCCAUUAAAAAAGGCAUCCCUUCAAGCUGGCAAUCCCUUUUCAGUACUGCUGUCUUGCUCCUCCUUUGUAGUGAGUUUUUUUGAACAGUAUGUACACUUAAACCAUCACCUGUUCCUCACCAAUCCAUUUACCUUUUGGUUCCUGAUGUCACCACUCCACUGAAACUUUCCCCAGCAGAGUCCCCCAUCUCUGUUGCUAAACAGAAGGGCUUAUUUUUUUAGCUAUCACUUUAUUUGACCAUUUGGCCAUAUUUGACAGUACAACACUUUCCCCUCUUCGAAGAACUCUUUCCUUGCCUUCCAUGUCAUGCUGUGCAGGUUUUCCUUUUUGCAUUUCUUUUCUUUCUAACCUUUAAACGCUGGUGUUCCUUGAGGCUGUACUCUCAGCCCUCUUCCAUUCAUUCUUAUGCUAUUCAUUCUUCCUGGAGAAUCCCAUCCACCCCCACAGCUUCUGUACAGCAUCAUCUGUAGGCUAAGGAUUCCUAAGUCUCAAUCCCUAGCCCAGAUUUUUCUUGAGCCUCAGAAUAAAGUAACAGAGUAAUUAUAGAACAUGUCUAUUGAGAUAUCCCAUAGUACCUCAAACUCAACUUGUCUAAAACUGAGCUCCAUUUUUCUCGAUCCAUUCUUCCCUCUCUGAGUUUGGUUUCUCAGUGAAUGAUACCAGCCUCUCUAUUCAGUUGUCUGAAUGAGAAAUCUGGGCAUUAUCUUCCAUUUCUUCUUCUUUUUCUCUCUACCCCUAUGUCCAGUAAUGUAGAUAGAUAUAUGGAUAGCCAUCCUUUGUAAUCAUGAAUUGUGAUUAAAAAGUUCCAUAAAACUGUAUAAAUCAUGAAGUUUUGCUCAUUUUACCAGCAAAAUGUUGGACACGUCUUUUGUUUCCAUAUUGCCACUGUCUACCUUAAAAUUGGGGUGUUAUCAUCUCUCUUCUAGGUUUUAGCUAAAGCCUCUUAGUUGAUUUCUGUGCUUCUAGUCUUGAACCUCUCUAACCCACUCCCUCCAUACGAGCCAGAGAGACUUUUGAAAAUCAUACCGUGAAAAAUAACCAUUACAUGCUGGUUUUGCCUGAGGUCCUCUUUACACCUGCGUUUUCUCUCCUGGUUCUUUGCCUUCCUUCCACUUCCUUUUUGCAUGAUUGACCCAUAUUUAUCCUACCUGAAUCUAACUUUUUACUUACUUAGUAUUCUACUAUUUAUUAAUCUUACUCCACUUGUUAUUAUUUUCAACUUGUAAUCUUAAAUUUGAGAACAUCAACAAGGACUUGGGGAACUUGAAGUAUUUCUGUCUAGUUCAUGUUUGUUAUUUGUCUUCUUUGUCCAUUCUCAUUCAUUAUUAUAACAACAAACAUCCAAAGAGCUCCCAAUAAAGAGUAAUGUGUUCGCAUGUUCUCACUCAUAGGUGGGUGUUGAACAAUGAGAACACAUGGACACAGAUAGGGGAACAUCACACACUGUGGUCAGUCGGGGAGAAAUAGGGGAGGGACAGCGGGGGGUGGGGAGUUGGGGAGAGAGAGCAUGGGGAGAAAUGCCAGAUAUAGGUGAUGGGGAGGAAGGCAGCAAAUCACACUGCCAUGUGUGUACCUAUGCAACAAUCUUGCACGUUCUUCAUAUGCACCCCAGAACCUAAAAUGCAAUUUAAAAAAAAAAGAGUAAUGUGUUAAUAAAAGGAUAAUUAGAUUCAUUUGUUUGUAUUGAUAUGUGUGUGGAAGGGUAGGAUUUGCUAUGAAUAUACUUUAUAUAUACUUAAAGACUUUUAAGCAUCAGCUGAGCUACUGCUUCCAUAUGCCUUCCUUAUUUCCUCUGCUUGUGCAGCUAUAGAAUUGAAUCAGUAAAGAUGUCAAGGAAUAGACUGCCUGGAUUGGCACUUGAUCGGUGCGGGAAGGAUUGUAUGUACUGUGUUAACUGUCCUUAAGUAGUUCAUUAUGUUCUCUGAGGGUGUUUUCACCUUCCAACCUAGGAAAUUCUGCCAACAACAGAAUUUUAUUUCUACAGAUGCUGGUGCCUGAUUCUUGCUCAGGCUUCUGUCAGACAUACUGUUUGAGAGGGGAGAGGUAAGGAACAGGAAAGGCCUUAAUAUUUGGAGGAAUUGUGUGGCAUCUUUUGCUUCUCUGCUUUGCUAAUUUGUUUUCCCUCCUGAUGUUCACCCACCCCAACGCUUUUCCUUUACUGACAAAUAAUCACUGAAAACAUAUGGUAGAAUUAUCAUUUGUAGUAGGUCUAGUUUCAUUUAAAUUAGUUGGAUAACAGGAGAACUUCCACAACCUAGCAAGACAGACCAGAAUUCAAAUUCAGGAAAUACAGAGAAUACCACAAAAAUACUCCUCGAUUUAACUUGAAGAGGUAACCACAAAAUAAAAUUUAAAAAAAAACUCCUUGAGAAGAGCAACCCCAAGACACAUAAUUGUCACACCCAGGUGAAACAAAGGAAAAAAUGUUAAAGGCAUUCACAGGGAAAGAUCAGGUUACUCACAAAGGGAACCCAUCAGACUAACAGAGGAUCUCUCUGCAGAAACCCUACAAGCCAGAAGAGAGUGGGGGCCAAUAUUAAACAUUCUUAAAGAAAGAGUUUCAAUUCAAGCCAAGCUAAGCUUCAUAAGCGAAGGGGAAAUAAAAUCCUUUACAGACAAGCAAAUGCUGAGAGAUUUUAUCACCACCAGGCCUGCCUUACAAGAGCUCCUGAAGGAGGCACUAGUUAUGGAAAGGAAAAACCAGUACCAGCCACUAAAAAACAUAACAAAUUGUAAAGACCAUUGAUUGACACAAUGAAGAAACUGCAUCAACUAAUGGGCAUAAUAAACAGCUAGCAUAAUAAUGACAGAUUCAGAUUCACACAUAAUAAUAUUAACCUUAAAUGUAAAUGGGCUAAAUGCCCCAAUUAAAAGACACCGACUGGCAAAUUGGAUAAAAAGUCAAGACCUAUUGGUGUGUAUCUAUGCAAUUGGUGUGUACCUAUUCAGGAGACUCAUCUCAUGUGCAAAGGCACACAUAGUCUCAAAAUAAAGGGAAAGAGGAAUGUUUUCCAAGGAAAUGGAAAGGAAAAAAAAGCAGGGUUUGCAGUCCUCGUCUCUGAUAAAACAGACUUUAAACCAACAAAGAUCAAAAAAGACAAAGGCAUCACAUAAUGGUAAAGGGAUCAAUACAGCAAGAAGAGCUAACGAUCGUAAAUACAUUCGCACUCAAUACAGGAGCACCCAGAUUCAUACAGCAAGUUCUUAGAGACCUACAAAGAACUUAGACUCCCACACAGUAGUGGCGGGAGACUUUUAACACCUCACUGUCACUAUUAGAUCAAUGAGACAGAAAACUAACAAGGAUAUUCGGUACUUGAACUCAGCUCUGGACCAGGCGGACCUAAUAGACAUCUACAGAACUCUUCACCCCAAAUCAACAGAAUAUACAUUCUUUUCAGCACCACAUCACACUUAUUCUAAAAUUGGCCACAUAAUUGAAAGUAAAACACUCCUUAGCAAAUGCAAAAGAAUGGAAAUCAUAACAAACAGUCUCUGAGACCACAGUGCAGUCACAUUAGAACUCAGAAUUAAGAAACUCACUCAAAACCACACAGCUACAUGGAAACUGAACAACCUGCUCCUGAAUGACUAUUGGGUAAAUAAUGAAAUGAAGGCAGAAAUAAAUAAGUUCUUUGAAAUCAAUGAGAACAAAGACACAACAUACCAGGAUCUCCGGAAUACAGCUAAAGCAGUGUUUAGAGGAAGUUUAUAGCACUAAAUGCCCAUAGGAGAAAGCGGGAAAGAUCUAAAAUCAACACCCUAACAUCACAAAUACAAGAACUAGAGAAGCAAGGGUAAGUAAAUUAAAAGCUAGCAGAAGACAAGAAAUAACUAAGAUCAGAGCAGAACUGAAGGAGGUAAACCCUUCAAAAAAUUAAUGAAUCCAGGAGCUGGUUUUUUGGAAAAGAUUAACAAAACAGACCACUAGCCAGACUAAUAAAGAAGACAAGAGAGAAGAAUCAAAUAGAUGCAAUAAAAAAUGGUAGAGGGGCUAUCCCCACUGAUCCCACGGAAAUAGAAACAACUAUCAGAGAGUACCAUAAACACCUCUAUGGAAAUAAACUAGAAAAUCUAGAAGAAAUGGAUACAUUUCUGUACACAUACACAGUCCCAAGACUAAACCAGAAAGAAGUCAAAUCCCUGAAUAGACCAAUAACAAGUUCUGAAAUUGAUGCAGGAAUUAAUAGCCUUCCAACCGAAAAAAGCCUAGGACCAGAUGGAUUCACAGCCAAAUUCUACUAGAGCUCCAAAGAGGAGUUGGUACCAUUCCUUCUGAAACUUUUUCAAGCAUUAGCAAAAGAGAGACUCCUUCCUAACUCAUUUUAUGAGGCCAGUAUCAUCCUGAUACUAAAACUUGGCAGAAACACAACCUAAAAAGAAAACUUCAGGCCAGUGUCCCUGGUGAACAUUGAUGUGAAAAUCCUCAAUAAAAUACUGGCAACUCAAAUCCAGCAGCACAUCUAAAAGCUUAUCCACAACAAUCAAAUCUGCUUCAUCCCUGGGAUGAUGCAAGACUGAUUCAUCAUAUGUAAACCUAUAAACGUAAUACAUCACAUAAACAGAACCAAUGACAAAAACCACAUGAUUAUCUCAAUAGAUGUAGAAAAGGACUUUGAUAUAAAAUUAAGCACCCCUUCAUGCUAAAAAAAAAAAAAACUUUCAAUAAACUAGGUAUUGAUGGAACAUAUCUCAAAAUAAUAAGAACUAUUUAUGGCAAACUCAGAGCCAAUAUUAUACUGAAUGGGCAAAAGCUAGAAGCAUUCCUUUUGAAAACCAGCACAAGACAAGGAUGUCUCUCUCACCACUCCUAUUCAACAUAGUAUUGGAAGUUCCGGCCAGGGCAAUCAGGCAAGAGAAAAAAUAAAGAGUAUUCAAAUAGGAAGAGAGGAAGUCAAAUUCCUUCUGUUUGCAGAUGACGUGAUUGUAUAUUUAGAAGACCCCAUCAUCUCAGCCCAAAAUCUCCAUAAGAUGAUAAGCAACUUCGGCAAAGUCUCAGGAUACAAAAUCAAUGUGCAAAAAUCACAAGCAUUCAUAUGUACCAAUAAGAGAUAAACAGAGAGACAAAUCAUGAGUGAGCUCCCAUUCACGAGUGCUACAAAGAAUAAAAUACCUAGGAAUACAACUAACAAGGGAUGUGAAGGACCUCUUCAAGGAGAACCACAAACCAUUGCUCAAGGAAAUAAGAGAGGACACAAACAAAUGGAAAAGCAUUUCAUGCUCAUGGAUAGGAAGAAUCAAUAUUGUGAAAAUGGCCAUACUGCCCAAAGUAGUUUAUAGAUUCAAUGCUAUCCCCAUCAAGCUACCAUUGACUUUCUUCCCAGAAUUAGAAAAAAACUACUUUAAAUUUUGUAUGGAACCAAAAAAGAGCCCGUAUAGCACAGACAAUCCAAAGCAGAAAGAACAAACCUGGAGGCAUCACACUACCUGAUGCUACACUGCUGCGGUAACCAAAACAGUAUGGUACUGAUACCAAAACAGAUAUUAGACCAAUGGAACAGAACAGAGGCCUCAAAAGUAACGCCACACAUCUACAACCAUCUGAUCUUUGACAAAAACAAAAACCUGACAUAAACAAGCAAUGGGGAAAGGAUUCCCUAUUAAUAAAUGGUGUUGGGAAAAGUGGCUAGCCAUAUUCAGAAAACUGAAACUGGACUCCUUCCUACACCUUAUACAAAAACUAAGAUGGAUUAAAGCCUUAAAUGUAAGACCUAAAACCAUAAAAACCCUAGAAGAAAACCUAGGCAGUACCAUUCAAAACAUAGGCAUAGGCAAAGACUUCAUUAUUAAAACACCAAAAGCAAAGGCAAUGAAAGCCAAAAUAGACAAAUGGGAUCUAAUUAAACCAAAGAGCUUCUGCACAUCAAAAGAAACUAUCAUCAGAGUGAACAAGCACCCCACAGAACGGGAGAAGAUUUUUGCAAUCUAUCCGCCUGACAAAGGGCUAGUAUCUAGAAUCAGCAAGUAACUUAAACAAAUUUACAAGAAAAAACAACCCCAUCAAAAAGUGGUUGAAAGAUAUGAACAGACACUUCUCAAUAGAAGACAUAUAUGCAGCCAACAAACAUAUAAUUAUAUAUAUCUACAUAUAUAUAUAAAGCUCAUCAUCACUGGCCAUUAGAGAAAUGCAAAUCAAAACCGCAAUGAGAUACCAUCUAAUGACAGUUAGAAUGGAGAUCAUUAAAAAGUCAGGAAACAACAGAUACUGGAGAGGAUGUGAAGAAAUAGGAAUGCUUUUACGCUGUUGAUGGGAGUGUAAAUUAGUUCAACCAUUAUGGAAGACAAUGUGGCGAUUUCUCAAGGAUCUAGAACCAGAAAUACCAUUUGACCCAGUAAUCCCGUUACUGGGUAUGUACUCAAAGGAUUAUAAAUCAUUCUACUAUAAAGACACAUGCACAUAUAUGUUUAUUGUGGCACUGUUCACAAUAGCAAAGACUUGGAACCAACCCAAAUGCCCAUCAGUGAUAGACUGGAUGAAGAAAAUGUGGCACAUAUACACAUGGAAUACUAUGCAGCCCUAAAAAUGGAUGAGUUUUUGUCCUUUGCAGGGACAUGGAUGAAGCUGGAAACCACCAUGGCACGUGUAUGCCUAUGUAACCUGCAUAUUCUGCACAUGUAUCCCAGACCUUAAAGUAUAAUUAAAAAAUAAUAAGAAUUUAAAACAGUAGUUGGAUAAGGCACUUAAAUUUCCAUAGCCCAAUGUGGUGAUAAAUCAAGUUAGUGGUAGUCUUUUAAGAGUUACAUGUCUGCAUGCUCACUUCAGCAGCACAUAUACUAAAAAAAAAAAAAGGUUACAUGUCUGCACUGCAUAUUCUUAUAAGUGGGUUUUGAACAAUGAGAACACAUGGACACAGGGAGGGGAACAUCACACACCAGGGUCUUUUAGAGGGUUGGGGGGCUAGGUGAGGGAUAGCAGGGGGGGAUUGGGGAGGGAUAACAUUAGGAGAAAUGCCUAAUGUAGAUGAUGGGGGGAUAGAUGCAGCGAACCACCAUGGCAUGUGUAUACCUAUGUAACAAUCCUGCACGAUCUGUACAAGUACCCCAGAACUUUAAGUAUAAUAAGAAAAAAGAAAGAGAAAGAAAGAAAAGAAAAAGGAAGAAAAAAAGAAGGAAAGAAAGAGAAAGAAAAAGCAGGCACAAAAGAGUACAUAUUUUUGUGCCUGACUCCAUUACAUGAACUUCAAGACUAAGAAACAUUAAUGUAUGGUGUUGAAAAGCAGGAUGAAGGGAGGUAGUUGGGGCAUGAGGAGGUUUCGGGGAUAAAGGGUGGUGGCAGUGUUUUCUGGUUCUGGGGGGUGGCUGCAUGUAUGUUCAUUUCAUGAAAGUUCAUAUGCAUUUGUGCAAUUGCCUGUAAAUAUGUCAUACUCCAAUAAUAUUAAAAAUAUAAAGCCCAUAUGGCAAAGAAAAAAAGAGUUACAUGUCUGCAUGAUUGUAUUUUUAAAAUACAUUAAUUCUCUAGAAAGUUUAAUUUAAAAAUGUAUCAUGUGGCCAGGCAUGGUGGCUUAUGCCUGUAAUCCCAGCACUUGGGGAAACUGAGGCAAGCAGAUUGUUUGAUCCCAAGAGUUCAAGACCAGCCUGGGCAACAUAGUGAGACCCUCUCCUUAAAAAAAAAAAAAAAAAAAAAAUAUGUGACAAUGACCUCUGGAAAAUCCUCCAAUCCAGCACAGCACUAUUCUAAGAGAUUCCAGUUGUUAGAAAUCUGCCCUGGAUUUAUUUUUUCUAGUCAUGAGCUUUAGGUAAAUGUUAAUAAAUGAGUGGAAGGUACUUUGGCAGUCAAGGAAUUAGCCUUCAAAAGAGAUAUACAUAUAUAUAUAUGUAGUUAUUUUUCUAAUUAGUAGAACAUUGGCACAUAAAAUUUAGAGAUGGAGAAUGUACUAUACAGGACCUGGAAAAAGGCAAUUAAUAUAUCAGCAACUGGGAUGAAAACCUAAAAUUCUGUAGUAAUGAAAAGCAAACAGUCUUUCUAAAUUAAUACAAAAUUAUUCAAAUAGGUUUCUUCCAGUUCCCCAUUUACCAUGAGUUUAGUAAAUAAUCUACUAGAUUGCCUUUUCUUUUCGGUGGUGGUGAUGGUGGUAAAAACAUAACAUGUUUACUCUUUUAACGUCUUUUAAGUGUGUAUUACAGUGUCGUUAACUAUGUGUACAUUGUUGUACAAGAAAUCUCCAGAACUUUUUCAUUUUGUGUGACUAAAACUCUGUACUCAUUCAGUUUCCCCAUUUCCCGCUCCUCAGCCCCAGCAGUACAUUCUAUUAUAGUUUAUAUUUCUAUGAGUUUAACUACUUUAGAUAAUCCAUAUAAGUGAAUCAUGCAGUAUUUGUCUUUUUGUGAUUGGCUUAUUUUACCUAGCAUAAUGUCCUCAAGUUUCAUCUAUGUUGUAACAUAUGGCAAGAUUUUUUUUAAGGCUGAAUAAUAUUUUUUUGGUAUUUAUGUAUCACAUUUUCUUUAUCAAUUCAUCUGUCAAUGGACAUUUAGGUUGCUUCCACAUCUAGGCUAUUGUGACUAAUGCUGCAGUGAAUAGAAGUUUCUGAAUAUCUCUUUGAUACUCUGUUAUCAGCUUUUUUGGAUAAAUACCCAGAAGUGGGAUUACUGGAUCAUAUGGUAGCUCUAUUUUUAAUUUUUUGAGCAACCUCUGUACUGUUUUCUAUAGUGGCUAUACCAUUUUACAUUCCUGCCAGCAGUUAACAAGGGUUUUAAUUUCUCCACAUGCUCAUCGAUACUUGUUUUCUGUUUUUUUGAUGUGGCCAUCCUAAUGAAUAUAAGGUGAUACCUCACUAUGGUUUUGAGUUCCCUGAUUAUUGAUGUUGAGCAUCUUUUCACACAACAAGCAUGCCUGUUGGCCACUUCGGUAUCUUUUUUGCUAGAAAUAUUACUUUGCCCAUUUUUUAUUCAGGUUAUUUGUUUUUAUAUUAUGAGUUGCAGGCAUUCUUUACAUACUCUGAAUAUUUACUCCUUAUCCAGUAAAUGUUUUGCAAAUACUUUUCCCAUUUUCUAGCUUGCCUCCACAAGAUUGCCUUUGAAAAGCCCAGGACUGUUAUUUUACAGCCUUAGCUUGAAUCUGACUCUGGUAAUUCACAUCAACCCCUGCUUGAUUCUCACCUAAUUCCUAACUCUAGACUUAAAUUUUGACUACCCUCCCUUCCCACAUCAUGUUAGCUAUGAUAACUUUACCGUUAACCCUGAUUUUCAUUCCCUAUGACCUCUUCUUUGCUAAUAUUUUAAUAAGUGGAGAUUUUAAAAUAAGGCAUAUGGUUGGCAAAAGCCAGGAAAAAAUUAUAAUCUCUGUAUUAAUGUUAAAUGUAAAAUCUAAAGCAGAAGUUAAAAUCUGCUUUAUAAGAAGUUCUUACUUCAAAAUAUCUAAAUUUGAAAAUACUCCCUUUGAAGGAAUAAGGGAGGCAUGCUACUUUGAAUAAAUACAUUUGGUGAGUGUGUAGGAAGAUAGUCACAAUUGUCAUGUGUGUCUCAAAGUCUUAUACCUCUUUUUGGCCCACUAAUCAAACUGGAAAUGUCACAUGAAACUUGUUGGGUGAACUAGUAAUUUCACCUUUGCUGAAACAGAGCUAAAAUAAGUUCCUGAAUGUUCUGAUUGACCACACAUAAUGUAGAGUUUAUU